RNAcentral lists this transfer RNA (47 nucleotides) under Pelargonium minimum. RNAcentral describes it as "partial tRNA-Leu". The record is from RNAcentral. Lineage: Eukaryota; Viridiplantae; Streptophyta; Magnoliopsida; Geraniales; Geraniaceae.
AAUCCUAUACGUUAAAAGUCGUGAGGGUUCAAGUCCCUCUAUCCCCA